GACGUAGGGCGCGAGCGUUGUCCGGAUUUAUUGGGCGUAAAGAGCUCGUAGGCGGCUUGUCGCGUCGAAUGUGAAAUUUUAGGGCUCAACCCUGACAUUGCAUUCGAUACGGGCAGGCUUGAGUUCGGUAGGGGAGACUGGAAUUCCUGGUGUAGCGGUGAAAUGCGCAGAUAUCAGGAGGAACACCGGUGGCGAAGGCGGGUCUCUGGGCAACAACUGACGCUGAGGAGCGAAAGCGUGGGGAGCGAACAGG
This 253-nucleotide ribosomal RNA is filed under the name uncultured bacterium. Its description in RNAcentral is "partial 16S ribosomal RNA". It matches the Rfam family "Bacterial small subunit ribosomal RNA", at positions 524 to 776 of the family's 1533-position model. The record is from RNAcentral.